UCUCCAGGACUGACUUGCCUCUCUCGCUUCCAGAGCUCCUUAAACCCCAAAUGGGUUAUCUGGGCAGAGCUUCAAGGACCCUACAACCGCUCAAACAUUUCUCUCUCGCUCACACUCCCUCUAAAUUUGGCCCAUUUUCCAAUAUACUCAAAGGCAACGCGCUAUGUACCAGAAUAGGAAACAACCAUUUUGGUUUGAGUCAUGGGUUUUCCUCUCAUUCUCGCCAAAGCAGCGAAGAGAAUGGCAUAGAUUUGAGCCAGUACCCUCCAGAGAGGAUCAGAAACUUUUCCAUUAUCGCGCACGUCGACCACGGCAAGUCUACCCUCGCUGACAGGCUUUUGGAGCUCACUGGGACCAUUAAGAGGGGCCAUGGUCAGCCUCAGUACCUCGACAAGCUGCAGGUAGAGAGAGAAAGGGGAAUCACGGUGAAAGCUCAAACAGCAACCAUGUUCCACAAAUACAACCUUCAUGGUACUGACAAAAGUGAUGUGCAAGACCAACCAAGUUUUCUACUGAAUUUGAUUGACACACCUGGUCAUGUGGAUUUCAGCUAUGAAGUAUCAAGAUCCCUGGCAGCUUGCCAGGGUGCUCUUUUGGUUGUUGAUGCUGCCCAGGGUGUUCAAGCACAAACUGUUGCUAACUUUUAUCUUGCUUUUGAAUCUAACCUGACAAUAAUACCUGUCAUAAAUAAGAUUGACCAGCCAACUGCUGAUCCUGAUCGUGUUAAAGCACAACUAAAGUCAAUGUUUGAUCUCGAUCCUAGUGAUGCUCUUUUAACAUCUGCCAAAACAGGGCAGGGUCUGGAGCAAGUCCUUCCUGCAGUUAUAGAGCGCAUACCUCCUCCACCUGGGAAAAGUGGUUCACCCUUGCGUAUGCUUUUACUAGAUUCGUAUUAUGAUGAAUACAAAGGAGUCAUAUGCCAUGUUGCAGUUGUUGAUGGUAUGCUGCAUAAGGGGGAUAAGAUUUCAUCCGUGGGGACUGGCCAAGCUUAUGAAGUUUCAGAUGUUGGCAUCAUGCAUCCUGAACUCACUCCCACUGGUGUCCUUCAUACUGGACAAGUGGGAUAUGUUGUGAGUGGCAUGCGUUCAACCAAAGAGGCUUGUAUUGGAGACACUCUUUAUCAUAGUCGAAGCAUUGUAGAGCCCCUUCCAGGAUUCAAGCCUGUGAAACAUAUGGUCUUCUCUGGUGUUUAUCCAGCUGAUGGAUCUGAUUUUGAAGCUCUCAAUCAUGCAAUAGAGAGACUGACAUGCAAUGAUGCUAGCGUCUCCGUCGCUAAAGAGAGUAGCACUGCACUAGGGCUGGGUUUUAGGUGUGGUUUCUUAGGCUUACUUCACAUGGAUGUUUUCCAUCAGCGGCUUGAACAGGAGUAUGGAGCUCAUGUUAUUUCUACUGUUCCAACCGUUCCUUAUAUUUUUGAGUAUUCUGAUGGAAGCAAAGUUCAAGUACAGAAUCCUGCUGCAUUUCCCUCAAAUCCCAAGCAACAAGUUACAGCUUGUUGGGAACCUACUGUAAUAGCUACAAUUAUCAUCCCUAGUGAGUAUGUGGGGCCUGUUAUUACCCUAUGCUCUGAACGGAGAGGGCAGCAGUUGGAGUAUUCAUUCGUUGAUAGUCAGCGCGCAUUUAUGAAGUAUCGCUUACCUUUGAGGGAAAUUGUUGUUGACUUUUACAAUGAACUGAAAAGUAUAACGUCAGGAUAUGCCUCAUUUGAUUAUGAGGAUGCUGAAUAUCAAGAAUCUGAUCUGGUGAAACUUGAUAUCCUCUUGAAUGGACAAUCAGUUGAUGCCAUGGCUACCAUUGUUCAUAACUUGAAGGCACAACGUGUUGGUCGUCAACUGGUUGAGAAACUGAAAAAAUUCAUAGACAGGCAAAUGUUCGAGAUAACAAUACAAGCUGCAAUUGGAUCGAAGGUCAUUGCGAGGGAGACGAUUUCGGCUAUGAGAAAAAAUGUUCUUGCAAAGUGCUAUGGUGGGGAUGUUACUCGGAAGAGGAAAUUGUUGGAGAAGCAAAAGGAAGGAAAGAAGCGAAUGAAACGCGUUGGUUCUGUUGAUAUACCUCAGGAGGCAUUUCAUGAACUUCUGAAGGUUUCAUGAAGAAAAUGUCCAAAGAAUUGGCCAUAUUUGGAACUGGUAAUGUCAGCUCAUCCCUUAUGUUCCUGUUGGCCAUAUUUGGAACUGGUUUAUGGUUGUGAGAAAAAGUGAUGGGAAAGGCUGUUGGAAAAAGCAAAACGAGGAAAGAAGCAAAUGAAGUGCGCCACCUCCUUGGGUGGCCUUCUGAUGAGCUGCCAGAGCUUUCGAGUAGACAAGAAAAAUGACCACAUCUGGCCAUGGAUGAUUUUUUCCUCUUUACAAGUAGCACAAAUGCUUUCUAGCAACAAAAUUUAGAGAUACUGGCAAAAUUCCCAUGUUUUGGGGUUAUUUUUGGUGAGUAUCACAAGUUCUUAUAGAAUUUCCCUUUGGUUGGGGGCACAGUGGAUAUUCCGCUGGUUGGCGUGUUUCAACAUUCCUCUGUUGAUGCAUGCACAUAAAGGCCCGUUUUUCCCUUUGUGACUUCUAUUGAUAAGAUUAACCGAGAUUAAUAGUUCGACUUGAUUCUUGAAGAGUGAGUACUAUAUCUAGUCAAAGGCGAAUACAUGCCUAUUUUACUGCCACAGUUAUAUAGAAGUAAAUUGAUUCCUUGAGAUGUUAUUAAAGAGGCAAUUUUGUUUUUGCUCAUUCAAGAAAUAAUGAGUUAAGGUUCCCUUUUUAUAUCA
Molecule: RNA transcript, 2749 nt
Organism: Alnus glutinosa
Lineage: Eukaryota; Viridiplantae; Streptophyta; Magnoliopsida; Fagales; Betulaceae
Gene name: translation factor GUF1 homolog, mitochondrial
Exons: 12
Source: RefSeq, a predicted model, not a curated record